ACUGUCAGUGAAACUUGUUUCCCAGUUGUAGUAAAAUAAAAGCUAAAGAAUUUGUUUCCUUUGUAAGUUUUGAGCAGGGGCAUGUUUAACUCAGCAUUUAAAAUCAAUAUUUUAGAAAUGGAAAUCCAGUUAUGAUAUAUAUGUUGGGAGGUCAGGGGCUGCAUUUGCCCCCAAUUCCACACAUAAACUUUGGAGGGCAUGGUUAGAAUUGUGAGUAAUUUAGGAUCAACAGUACAAUCCUGUAUAAUUUAGUGACUCAGCACAGUAAUAAACCCUGGAACCUUCUGCUUCUGUGUUCCUUCUCUGAAGGAAUUAAGGGCAGAAAGGAAGAAAGCAAACAUGAAUUAAUUUGAUUUUAUGUGCUUAAGCAGACAUAAUGAGAAUCUGUUGGUGUGGCAGAAGUUACCACCAAUCUACAUAAAAAUGAAUAAUACUGACAUUAAAAGAAAGAGCAUUAAUUAUGUUGCUGUGAUUGCAGACUUAAAUCAUUUCAGGGGCUCAUGCUUACACAUAAGGGCCUCAAGUCCCUGAAUGUUGGACAUUAUGUAGAAGCUGAUGUGGCAGAGGCCUGAAACAUUGCCCCGCUUAGCCCAUGUGAAAUUCCCUGGUGUUCGCUUCCUUCACUUCCCUUUGCACUAAAUAAUGCCAUCUUUUCUCAGAAAGUCUAAAAACGCUUUUGUGUUUUCAAAGAGUAGAAACGAAAUGGGUUUUCCCACCCCUUUUGUUAACCAGGUACUUUUAAUAGCAAGGCUAUUCUUGGCUUCAGUCCUUGGCCAAUUUUGUCAUAAUUUUUUGAGCAUGUUGGCGCUCUCAUGCUCAAAGAUCAGUUACCAAGAAUUUCAGAUUUCCUGUUAUGAGAGGUCAAGCAAAUGAUACAAGUUACAUAAGUGUUUCUUGGACCAUAAAGGAGCUGUUCUCUCAGGCUAAAUGUACCCUUUCCAGCUAGCUCAUAAGAAUCUCUGUCAACUCUGGAUUUUUACAUUUUUUAGGACUGUGCAGUCUAAAUGUGAAAAGUAGCACAGCCAUUGGAAAAACAGCUAGAAUUGAUGAGCUCUGUUAGAAAUAUAUUGCUAAUAUUGCUACUUGAUAUUGCUGUCAAUGUCAAGUGAUAUUUAUCACUGAGAAUGAUAAAAGUUUGUUUCAAAAUAAUUUAGAAAUUUAAUUUUGAAAAUUUGGGUGUAGGUUCAGAAGGUAUCACACAUUUCAUGGUGUGUUGUCAUUCUUGGUUUGCGAAGAGGCCCUCAGUGAUUUCUUUUAUCUUUUUACUUCCUUAUUUUUUCUUUUGGCCGUGCCUGUCGCAUGUAGAAGUUCUCUGGGCAGAAAUCAAACCCAUGCCACAGCAGUGACCUGGGCCCCUGCAGUGACAACUCCAGAUACUUAACCCACUGCACCGCAAGAGAACUCCGUUCCUUAUUUUUCUCUUUCACUCUAAUUCCAUUUUUUCUUUCCCAAAGAUACUCACUGGUAAUGUUUUUAUUUUACCUGAAAGGUUUUGUGUUAUAAGAUCCAAUGUAUUAUUGUUUGUUUUUAUAAUGAUUUUUAUUAUUUCCAUUAUAGCUGGUUUACAGUGACCUCGUCACAGAUACAUAUAUACAUUCUUUUUUCUCACAUUAUCAUGCUCCAUCAUAAGUGACUAGACAUAUAGUUCCUAGUGCUACACAGCAAGAUGUCAUUGCUUAUCCAUUGGUUAACCAAUACCACCUAUGAAAAUCUAUCUCCAUUGUUUCACAUACAUCUUGUUUGUUCAUUGCUUUUGAUUGCUGUGCAGUAUUCCCUGCAAGUACCCAUCCCAUUCUACUUUCCAUUCCCAAAGAGAAGGACACCUUGUUUUCUGUAACCUGGGCUUUCAUAUACAGGACUGCCAUGGACAUCUUUAUACAUAUUGCCUUAUGAAUCUUUUCAUAUAAAGAUUAUAUACAUAGAUGUAGGUGUGUGUCCAUAUAUGUUUGUGCAUUUGUGUAUCCAUCCAUCCAUCCAUCCAUCCAAAAAUGUAUUUCUUAAAUUAUACAAAUUUGGUGAAUCUGGUUAUUAAUGAAUAUCACUAAGAAUUUCUCUUAUCACUUGCUAGAAUGACUGUAUCAUCCUAUACCACCACUGUCUGUACAUGGGAUUCAUAUGAGUUUACCAAUAACUUGCAUUGACUGAUAUUCUUUUUUUUUUAAUUAAAGUAUAGUUGAUUUACAAUGUCCUGCCAAUUUCUGCUGUACAGCAUAGUGACCCAGUCUUAUAUUAUUCCCAGUCUUAUAUUAUCCUCCAUCAUGGUCUAUGCCAAGAGACUGGAUAUAGUUCCAUGUGCUACACAGUAGGACUACAAGUCUAUUCUCUAUGUCUUUGAGUCUGUUUCUAUCAUGUUGCCUGAUAUUCUAAUUCUUUCCAACCUAGUGGGUAUAUAAUGGUAACUCUUUUAAUUUUGCCUUUCUUUUGUUGCUGGUAAGGUUGAAUUUUUUUAUGUCUUUAACCUUUUGAUUUUCCAUUGUUGGAAAUUGCCUAUUCAAAUCUAUUUUUGUUAUAAAAAUUGUAUUUCCCUUCUUUUUCUUGCAGUAGUUAACUGUGUUUUCUUUACUCUGUUGAAGAAAUUGAGCAUAUAGUCAUUCCUGCAGUGCUUGGAGCAGACUUUGUGACUGUGAGGUACUCCCUGAGAUUAAGCCUCGCAUUUCUUUUUGCCUCUAACAAGGUAAAGCCUUGCUACUUCUAUGCAGCUGUUCCCCACCUGCUUUCCCUACAAAGGCUCCUGACUCCCGGCAAUGCAGCCAAGAAAACAGGAGCAAACCCUGUCAGCUCACUGCUUUGCCUAAAAGUUCCAGUGGCUCCCCUUGGCUUUCAGGAGCAAAAAUCUGAAUCUUUGCUGGGUUGCAAAUUCCUCCCAUGAUUUAAUGCUUGCAUCUGGUCAUCCCGUGUGAUCUGUGUUCUAGCCACAGAAGGCUGCUUCCUCAUUUUUACAGGGCCUUCUUUGGCCCAGCACAUGCUGUGUCUUCUGCUCUUACUGCUGGCCUCCUCCGCCUGAAUAAUUUCUCCUCUCCUAGCUUCUCAGGGCAUCUCCAGGAAAGCCCUCCCUGAUCCUCACACUUAGGUUGGAUCUCUCAGUCUCCCAUGGGAACCUCUACUUGCUUUCAGACUCCUUCUAUCCCUGCAAAAUUUAAUACAUUUUUGGGGUUUGAAGCCAAAAGGGUGAGGCACUUGGGAACUCCAUGAGGUCUUUGUUUCUCUCUGCUGUUUCUCAAGCAUGUAGCUUAGCACUUGAAACACAAAAGCACAGUUAACGUUUGUUGACAGAGGAAUAAAAAUGUAUACACAUUAAAUGCUCAUUCCAUGACUUUGGCUUUGUGUCUCAUUUUCACUAAACACUUGGAUCAAUGUGUCCAUUUGAAACUAGUUUUGAUUCUACCUUUUACAUUUACUAUAUAAAUGUAUUUAAUUGCAUUUUCCUUGUUGAUUGAAUAAAUUUACUUAAAUGUAUUUCUUUCAGUUAACACUGUCUACAGGUUUAUUUUUAAUAGGGUUGUGUGUGUAUAUUAUUAGCUUAAAUAUCAUUAUAUAUGGUGCUACUGUGUUAUGGUUUGUAUAAUGUUCCCCUAUUUUGAAGCAUUAGGUUGUUUUCAAUUUCAUUACUUUAUAAUGAAAUAUAAUAUUUCUUGGUAUAAAUUAAUUUCUUUUUUUUCCUGGAGUUAUUUCUUUGGAAUUACUGCUUUUGAACAGCUCUUAUUAAAGGCUGCUAGAUCAUUUAGGAAGAUUAAAGUUGGUUUCAUUGCUAGGCAGUGUGUACCUGUUUUUCUAGAGCUCCACCAAAAUUGAGUUUUAUAAUUUCAUUGUAUUUUAAUAGCUCUGAAGUGUAACUCUGAAGUUGUUUCAAUUUGCGUUUCUUUCUCUGUUGGUAAAUCUGUACAUUUUCCACCAGGAUGACUUAGGCCUUCACUUCCCUCUGUUGAAAUGGUCAGUGUGCAUUUUUUGAUGUUCUCCUAAUGAAAUCAAAUCCUAUCUUCUUGUGAGUGCCAUAAGAUGGAGGUACCAGGACCUCAUCUUCCUGUUUACUCUGUUUUGGAGUAUUUUGGGUACCUCACAGGAUUUACUUCUAAGAAUGUUUUUUGGGAGAGUUUUGUGUUAUUUUGUUUUUGGCCUCAUUGUGCAGCAGCUAGAUGUGGGUGAGAUCUCAGUCCCCAGACCAGGGCUUGAACUUGGGCUACAGCUGUGGAAGCUCUGAGUCCUACAGGGACCAAUUUGUUGAUUUUGGGGCUUUUUUCUAAGUAUUCUUUGAUACUCUUAGAAAUAUGAAACAAGAUGGAGUCAGACUGAGAGAUGCUUUUUCCUUAUCCGUAAUUCCCAUUUAAAGGUUAUGGCCCCUUAGCACUGCAAAAACCAAACCCAAACAGGGAUAUUUCUGUUCAUUUGGGUGAGAAAUAUAUUCUCCUGAAGAGAUAGGAAUCCAUGUAGCAGAGCAUGUGUUUUCUUGGUCCCCUUUUAAAUGCAAAAGUUAUUUAUGGAUUUGCAUUCCAUAGCGUCUCAGCAUCAUUUAGAAUUAAGCUUUGCUUACUGAACUCAAACUGCAAAGCUUCACUUAAGCAUGACUCAAUUACCCUUUAAUGU
Molecule: long non-coding RNA, 4581 nt
Filed under: Sus scrofa (pig)
Lineage: Eukaryota; Metazoa; Chordata; Mammalia; Artiodactyla; Suidae
Description: lncRNA (ENSSSCG00000053404.1)
Source: RNAcentral